UACGUAUGUCCCAAGCGUUGCCCGGAAUUACUGGGUGUAAAGGGUUCGUAGGCGGUUUGGUAAGUUGGAUAUGAAAGACCGGAGCUCAACUCCGUGUUUGUGUUCAAAACUGCCAAACUAGAAUUAGGGAGAGGUUAGCGGAAUUCUGAGUGUAGGGGUGCAAUCCGUAGAUACUCAGAGGAACACCAAAAGCGAAGGCAGCUAACUGGAACUAUAUUGACGCUAAGGAACGAAAGCGUGGGGAGCGAAAAGG
RNAcentral lists this ribosomal RNA (253 nucleotides) under uncultured bacterium. RNAcentral describes it as "partial 16S ribosomal RNA". It matches the Rfam family "Bacterial small subunit ribosomal RNA", at positions 524 to 776 of the family's 1533-position model. The record is from RNAcentral.